This 22-nucleotide microRNA is filed under the name Pteropus alecto (black flying fox). Its description in RNAcentral is "pal-miR-192-5p". Its record names the gene pal-miR-192-5p. The record is from miRBase by way of RNAcentral. Lineage: Eukaryota; Metazoa; Chordata; Mammalia; Chiroptera; Pteropodidae.
CUGACCUAUGAGUUGACAGCCA